UCAGACUAAAUAAACCCAACAGCUCCAGCCUUGUGUCUGAGCCUCAUCAUUGUGGUCGCUAUCUUCUUGAUUGUUCUGUCUUCUCCUUUUCAGAAGGUGGGUCUACUUUGGCCCCUAGCCAUUGACAUCUCGGUGCUUCGUCGAGGACAGUUCAUCCCUGGAAUAUUUCAGAGAAGAGAAUCAACAACUGCACAAGGAAUCACGUUCUGAUGUGGACAAUAGCAGCUGGAUUAAUGAACAGAAGAAAAUUCAGCUUCAGGUGCCAGCUCUACAACAAGACUUCUUGGCAGCUGGGGACUCUGGGACUUCUUCCUGCCACAUAUGAACCACAAAUAGACGAGGACUAUAAGGGAGUUCAUUAGUUUGGAAGAAGGUACUCAAAGGUCUCAGGUAAGUGGACAGGGGGUGCUGAGAUGCUGUCCCUUCGGAUCAGUCAGCUUUUAGAUAUCAUCUGACCCAAGUCAGCAUGAAAGAGUUUGAGGUUCUACUGUUUUGUAAAGAUGCUGUUUUCAAAGAAUCUCCAAGUACCUCUGUUUGCACAAUGGCUGCACAUGUGCUCUAUCCAGAACAGG
Molecule: long non-coding RNA, 572 nt
Filed under: Bos indicus x Bos taurus (hybrid cattle)
Lineage: Eukaryota; Metazoa; Chordata; Mammalia; Artiodactyla; Bovidae
Description: lncRNA (ENSBIXG00005031305.1)
Source: RNAcentral